This 235-nucleotide unclassified non-coding RNA is filed under the name Ascomycota sp. RNAcentral describes it as "partial contains small subunit ribosomal RNA, internal transcribed spacer 1, and 5.8S ribosomal RNA". The stretch from base 1 to 47 matches the Rfam family "Eukaryotic small subunit ribosomal RNA", at positions 1785 to 1831 of the family's 1831-position model. Lineage: Eukaryota; Fungi; Ascomycota. The record is from RNAcentral.
AAAGUCGUAACAAGGUCUCCGUUGGUGAACCAGCGGAGGGAUCAUUACCGAGAUCAUUCUCAUAACCCUGUGAACUUAUACCUAUUUCGUUGCCUCGGCAGGCGGUCCCGGGGGGACCUCCGGCCCGCGGGUGCCUGCCGGCAGCGCUGAACUUCUGAACUUCUACCGUACAUUCUGAGUGGCGAGCUGCAAAGCAAAACAGUCAAAACCUUCAACAACGGAUCUCUUGGUUCUG